RNAcentral lists this small RNA (26 nucleotides) under Bombyx mori (domestic silkworm). RNAcentral's name for it is "ovarian small RNA-12256". Lineage: Eukaryota; Metazoa; Arthropoda; Insecta; Lepidoptera; Bombycidae. The record is from RNAcentral.
AGUAGCAAAUUUCAGAGUCUCGUAGC